GACGAACGCUGGCGGCGUGCUUAACACAUGCAAGUCGAACGGAAAGGCCCUGCUUUUGUGGGGUUCUCGAGUGGCGAACGGGUGAGUAACACGUGAGUAACCUGCCCUUGACUUUGGGAUAACUUCAGGAAACUGGGCUUAAUCCCAUACCGCAUCCCCUCUUCCAUGGUGAGCGUGGGAACGUUUCGGCGGGCGGGGAUGGAUUCGCGGCUUAUCGACUUGUUGGUGGGGUAGUGGCUUACCAAGCCUUUGACGGGUAGCCGGCCUGAGAGGGUGACCGGGCACAUUGGGACUGAGAGACGGCGCAGACGGCUACGGGAGGCAGCAGUGGGGAAUAUUGCACAGUGGGCGGAAGCCGUAUGCAGCAACGCCGCGUGCGGGAUGACGGCCUUCGGGUUGUAAACCGCUUUCGCCUGUGACGAAGCGUGAGUGACGGUAAUGGGUAAAGAAGCACCGGCUAACUACGUG
RNAcentral lists this ribosomal RNA (468 nucleotides) under uncultured bacterium. RNAcentral's name for it is "partial 16S ribosomal RNA". It matches the Rfam family "Bacterial small subunit ribosomal RNA", at positions 28 to 507 of the family's 1533-position model. The record is from RNAcentral.